This 244-nucleotide ribosomal RNA is filed under the name uncultured bacterium. RNAcentral describes it as "partial 16S ribosomal RNA". It matches the Rfam family "Bacterial small subunit ribosomal RNA", at positions 15 to 254 of the family's 1533-position model. The record is from RNAcentral.
GAUCCUGGCUCAGGACGAACGCUGGCGGCGCGCCUAACACAUGCAAGUCGAACGAGCGAGAGAGAGCUUGCUUUCUCGAGCGAGUGGCGAACGGGUGAGUAACGCGUGAGGAACCUGCCUCAAAGAGGGGGACAACAGUUGGAAACGACUGCUAAUACCGCAUAAGCCCACGGGUCGACAUCGACCAGAGGGAAAAGGAGCAAUCCGCUUUGAGAUGGCCUCGCGUCCGAUUAACUAGUUGGUG